UGUGUAGGCUUUGCGUGUGUGUACAUGCAAGCGAGGGAGCGAGAGGCAAAGCAAGCGCGCGCGUGCGGAGGAGUCUCCCGCGAGGCUCGCCGAAGCCCAGCGCAGCAGGCGGGUGCCGGAGUCCGGCCGCGGGGCAUGGAGAGCCUGCUGGAGAAUCCGGUGCGCGCCGUGCUCUACCUGAAAGAGCUCACCGCCAUCGUCCAGAACCAGCAGAGCCUCAUCCACACCCAGCGCCAGCGCAUCGACGAGCUGGAGAAGCGCCUGGACGAGCUCAGCACCGAGAACCGCAGCCUCCGCGAGCAGUACGCGCUCCCGGCGGAAACCCCGCCGCCGCUGCAGCCGAGGGUUCCCCCUGCUGCCUCCUUGCCUUGCCGAGCUCCGCCUCAGGGCCAGCAGCAGCCGCCGCUGGCGGCGGCGGCUCAGCAGGAGGAGUUUCAGCACCACCAACAGCUCCCGGCGCUCCAGCCGCCGCCGCCGCCGCGGCAGCCGCCUCCACCACCACCUCCCAGCAGUAGCAAGCAGGCUCAGGCCGGCCCCAGCGGUACCCGGACGCCGGUCUCACACCAGCACCCUUCCCUUCAGCCCCACCAGCAUCACCACGAGGAUAGCCGGGAAAAGAGCUGUUGCCCUGCUCUCCUUCAGCACAAAAGCCCCCCAGCCCUCGGCAAAGGCGUCUUAGUCAGAAGGCUAGAGAAUGAGACUGUUUUACACCAAUUCUGCUGCCCGGCUGCGGAUGCAGAGCAAAAGCCUUCGUCUGCAGACUCUUCUUCAAGUGAUGAUCCCUGCGGUUCAGCCAGCAAGAAAACCGGGUGUGACGUGGAGGAACCGAAGGAGUCCGGCAGAGGCAGUGGCCAGGAAGGCAGGUCCGACACCUUGAAGUUAAAAGCCCAGCAUGAGGAGCGGCAGGAAGAGCAGGCAGCGGGGUCCUCCCUUUUGGUGCAGAAGGCCAGCCUCCACCACACAGGUUCCCCCGUGAGAGGGCAGCGCAGCAAAGGGGCAGCUACCUGUUCCCAUGCAGCUGCAUCCAAUUAUGAGCUCUCCCUUGACUUAAAGAAUAAACAGAUCGAAAUGCUAGAGCACAAAUAUGGGGGCCACUUGGUCUCUCGGAGAGCAGCCUGCACAAUUCAGACUGCCUUCCGCCAGUACCAGCUCAGUAAAAACUUUGAGAAGAUCCGGAACUCUCUACUGGAGAGCCGCAUGCCCCGGCGAAUUUCCUUGAGGACACUCCGUGUCCAGAACUCUGAAAAUUUCUCUGCUGAGAAAGCCUUGGUAGAAGGCUAUAACUUUGUUGGCAUCCCCUUGGUAAGAUCUCCCUCUUUGCCAGUAACCAUUAGUGGGGCACUGACCGAGCUGGAAGACUCUUUCACUGAGCAAGUUCAAUCUUUGGCCAAAUCCAUUGACGAUGCGCUCAGCACAUGGAGCCUGAAAACCAUGUGUUCCCUGCAAGAUGGAAGUUCCUAUCAGAUAAGAGAGACCUUCAGUACGAGCUCCAUGCAACCAAACCAAGACUUGGACAUGGAACUGAAGGAACAAGAGAAGGAGGAAGGGUUGCUGCCGGACACAUUACCAAAGAGCAGCAGCACGCUCAUGAUGGCCUUCAGGGAUGUCACCGUCCAAAUAGACAACAAAAAUAUCUCUGUCUCCUCAUCUACCUCAGUGUCUAUGGCAAACUGCCUGGCUAACAGUAGCCAGGCUGGGAUUUCUUCAGCUGCCAAAAUAGAAGAAAUCCCAGUGGAAGGGGAGAAAGAGGAUAAAGAUCUUCAAGUUGUUUCAGAAGGGCAGCCUGAUGCUGGAGCCCUCCAGAAUAGUCACCCAGUAACUGAGGCGAAUCUCAACACGAACGGUUUGGAGAAAGGGGAGGCUGAGCAAGACCAAAUGAUGAUGCCAAAACUUGACUUUGGCUCUGAAAAUGGGACUGGGCAGCACAAGGGAUCAGAAGCUGAAAAUGUAGAUAAUUUGGAACAACUGAGCAGUAGCAGUACAUCCACCUCAGCUAAGUCUGCUUCAGAGUUAUCCUCAAAGGAAGCCCUGCAAGCCAUGAUUUUGAGCCUGCCACGGUAUCACUGUGAGAAUCCAGCCGUCUGCAAAUCACCCACACUUUCUACAGACACCAUGAGGAAACGGCUGUACCGCAUUGGGCUGAAUCUCUUUAACAUAAAUCCAGACAAAGGGAUCCAGUUCCUGAUCUCUCGAGGCUUCAUACCAGAUACGCCAAUUGGAGUGGCCCAUUUCCUGUUGCAGCGUAAGGGGCUCAGCCGACAAAUGAUCGGGGAGUUUCUGGGAAACAGCAAGAAACAAUUCAACCGGGAUGUCCUGGACUGUGUAGUGGAUGAGAUGGACUUCUCUGGGAUGGAGCUUGAUGAAGCUUUGCGGAAAUUUCAAGCCCAUAUCCGGGUGCAGGGAGAAGCCCAGAAAGUGGAACGACUAAUUGAAGCCUUCAGCCAGAGGUACUGCAUGUGCAAUCCAGAUGUAGUCCAACAGUUCCAUAAUCCAGAUACCAUUUUCAUAUUGGCUUUUGCCAUCAUCCUUCUUAAUACGGAUAUGUACAGUCCUAACAUUAAACCUGACAGGAAGAUGAUGCUGGAGGACUUCAUUCGGAACCUGAGAGGAGUGGAUGAUGGAGCUGACAUUCCCCGUGACUUGGUGGUGGGAAUUUAUGAAAGGAUUCAGCAGAGAGAGCUCAAAUCCAAUGAGGACCAUGUAACUUAUGUCACCAAAGUAGAAAAAUCAAUUGUUGGAAUGAAAACGGUGCUGUCUGUGCCUCAUCGCCGUUUGGUCUGUUGUAGCCGCCUUUAUGAAGUGACCGACGUGAACAAAGUGCAGAAACACGCUGCCCACCAGAGGGAAGUUUUUCUCUUCAAUGACCUGCUGGUGAUUCUCAAGCUUUGCCCCAAGAAGAAAAGCUCCUCAACCUACACAUUUUGCAAGUCAGUCGGCCUCUUAGGAAUGCAGUUCCAUCUAUUUGAGAAUGAAUACUAUCCCCAUGGUAUCACUUUGGUGAUUCCAGUUUCAGGCUCAGAGAAGAAACAGGUGCUUCAUUUCUGUGCCCUAAAUGCUGAAGAAAUGCAAAAAUUUGUGGAAGAUCUCAAAGAAUCAAUAGCAGAGGUGAUGGAGCUAGAACAGAUUCGAAUUGAAUAUGGGAGCUGGAAAAACAGCAUGGGGCAAAGAAUCUUUCCUUAAAAACCAAUGGGGCUCAGAUGGAAAUGCAAUACAAGCAAGGAUCUCCAGCAGGCAAAAAAGAUUUAGGAGAAAAAGGCCCGGAGAACACAGUGGAGGUAAGUAGAAUGUGCAGCAGUGGAGGUAAGUAAUUCUCCCUCAGUCAAGCCCUUCUUACAUUCUCUGUUAUUUCUUUUCUCAGGUUUUAAUCAAUGCCUCCCCUGCCAGACUGACAAUUUUACCAAUUUCCAGAGAUACAAUAAAAAGUUACUGCUAGGACGGGUAAUACAACUUUCAAAUCCAGAUUAAACGUCAAAGCAUUUUUUUCAAGCCGUUUCUCUAAUUGUUAAUACAUCCUUCAUGGAGCCAGCGGCCGAACUCUGGAAACUAACCUGCUCCUUCCUCAUCCCCACCCAGCACCCUUUCAGGAGAAAUCAGAGACAGAGCUGAGAUGAACUCUUUGGCAGGUCCCUAUCAUUGCCUAGAAUCUCCCCAAUCCUCACUGCUCACCUGGUCUUUUCCUCAUAGCUCUUCUGCCCAAGGCUGGGCAAGAUUCACUGGGGAGGGGGGAUUGGAAGAUUAGACCAAAUGUUCCCCAACCUGGAAGGGAUUGCUGGCCAAUAUGGUAUUGCUUUCCUUAUAUGAAGACAGAUCUCCACAGCAAGACCCGUUCCCAGGACCCCAGUUCACCAGGAAAACCCUCCUCAUUCAGCAGCAUCUCCCUUUCUCUGGAGGUGCCACAACUACCUCUAAGGGAGGGAAUACAUUUCUCCACCAGUAUUAAUUAUCUUCACCAGCCUCUAAACUGACACCAAGCUCCAUCACCUUAUAAUUACUUGGUUUCAUCCUUAUUAUCCAAGUUUGUGCCCUUCAGUUUUCUCUUCUGCAGCCUUUGAGAAAUCAGCCACUCUGGGCCUACUUGUUGCUCAGGCCAUGCUUCUCAUAAAGUGCUUCAUAAAAACUAACUCAUUACUCUGGCAGCAUGGCUGCUAAUGCCCUACAGGAAUGGGCGUCUCCAUUUUGAGUCAAAACAGACACCUCUUCAUGGAGAAAUAUUCAUUUCAGAAUCCCAAGAAAGCUAUUCAUAAAGCUUUGUCCUGGUUGGAAUUCCAGAAUUAGGCAGAUAGGGCCCCUUAUCUGCCACUGCUCCACCACAAAAGGAACCUCAUUCUCCAACUCCUUGUUGACCCUUACUCUCCCGAGUCUACUGGGUAGCUGUGCUUCUUUGAAACUCUUUCUUUUAAACUUUUAUUUAUAGAUUCCCUAAAUUCCUUCCAUAGGGAACGCCAUCUUAGUUGCUGUUUACAGACUGAACUUGAAGAAUUCUUUGGGGUCCUCACUGCAGAUACUUCAAGCCUUCUUCCUCCCCUUCCCUCCUUAGCAGAAACAAGCAUCUCCAUUUUCUCUGAGAUUUACCUGAUCUGCUGCCAUUUCAUCAGAUUUAUUUUCUUUUCAAUCAUUGUAUAAACUGGAUGGGUACUUUUUUUUUUUCCUUUUGGGGGCAGAUUUAAAAACCAUUUCCUUUCGCUUGCCAACCAUUGAGUGGAUCAGAGCGAGCUGCAAGUUUGCUGAAAGAUGUCAGAUUUGUGCUUGGUUCCCCCCCCCCAGUUCCCUUUUUAAUUUUCUCCUUUUGUAAAUAGGGUAAUGAGUCAUGUGUGCCACUUUCCUGCUCAGAAAGACAAGAGCUAGGAAGAGCUCAGGUCUUUCCUUGAAUGUCAGCAAAUCUCAUCUCCUCUCCCCUCCCACAAAGAUGUACAACCUCAAUUAUCCUUUCUUCUUUCUGCCUUGUUAGCAUAUAGACUGUAAGAUGAUGAUGAUGUAAGAGUUUCUGAGCACUUCAGUCAUAAAGCACAGCUUAUCUGAAAACAGGCCUGCAUUAAGCAGAAUUUGGAAAAACUUUAUUCCCCCUUGCCUUUUUUCCAAGCAAAAGACAAAUAGGGGCCUAAAAAAAAUAUCUAAGGGAACAUUUAAAACUCUGAGUAACAAGAUGUUUUUGAUAGCACGAGAGUUGUCAUGCCUUCAGCAUCUAUUGUGUCAAUGUUUUUCACUUGCUCUGGGUGCCACUUGUAUUGACUCCAUCUGGAUGGUUGAGGUUGUGCUGUCUGUGGGUAUAGCAUUACUGCCUUUGCUAUUAUGAGGCUCAAGAAGGAAGCCCUGGGGAAGGUGCAGCUGUGGGAAUGGGAGAAUGAGGGGGUCAAAGGAGGGGUGGGGUGGGAGAUUUUGGAGCAGUGCUUAAGCUGGGCUAUGGCUUUUGGAGAAAGAUUUGGAGGUGGGGUGGGUGAAGGGCAGCCUGCAGGAGCAGCUGGGAAAAAGUUUUGUAACAUUUAAUGCUUCUCUGACUGUUUCUAAACUAGGUGUCAAUUCACAACAGGCUUCAAACGUACCAGCACAACUCUCUCCCGGGGCUCGAGAGUGGAGUGGAGCCCAGCACACAUCCUAAUGUGGCACGGGAAAGGCUGGAGGCAGCAUUGGCACCCUCUUACCCUGCCUCA
RNA transcript from Crotalus tigris (Tiger rattlesnake), 5648 nucleotides. It is a transcript of the gene named IQ motif and Sec7 domain ArfGEF 3, with no coding region annotated. The record is from RefSeq and is a predicted model, not a curated record. NCBI's taxonomy places the organism in Eukaryota, Metazoa, Chordata, Lepidosauria, Squamata, Viperidae. The transcript has 14 exons.